Long non-coding RNA from Lotus japonicus, 1244 nucleotides. RefSeq lists it as uncharacterized. The transcript has 6 exons. The record is from RefSeq and is a predicted model, not a curated record. Lineage: Eukaryota; Viridiplantae; Streptophyta; Magnoliopsida; Fabales; Fabaceae.
UGGUAUUGGAUGCUUUAGAUUUUCCAUUGUUCAGAAAUAUCUGGAGUGAAAUUUUCUGUCUCAUUUUUCUUGUGUAUUUUAACUGCAAGCUCUCCAUCCUCUGCUGAUGGCCAUUGGGAUUAUCCUCUUAAGUGGAGAAGAAAUCUUGGUGAAUAGAUGGUUACUAGGGUCUAGGAGCUUGAAGAAAUCUGUUCAAUUGUGCCUUCAAGGGGCAGCUCUUGGUUGUGGGAUCUUUGGGAUUUGGACAAAAUUCCAGGGAAAAGGUGGGAUUGUGGCAAGCUUUAUCUCUGGUUCUGUCCCUAUUGGCGUUCUGUUCUUCCUCCAUUAUUAAGGUAGAGCAAGACAUGUAGAUAAUCAAUUUUUGAGGUAUCCACUGGUUAUCUCCAUUUGUUUGGAAGCAUAAAGGAAUUAACUUAUGUCCCUUGGUUGUUAAUGGAUUAUGUGAGGGAGGCUGUUCUGCAAUUAGACUCAGGGGCAUCUCUAAUUGUUGGUCCAACUAUAUUACAAAAGCCAAAAUAAGGAAAUCACAAUAAAGCCUCCAUUACAAAUCCUUCACUUCCCUUCACCUGCAAUUAUGGGUUUUCCUGCCAUGAACAAACAAGAUUGGGCCCUCCAAAACCAAGCUCUCUCCUCCAUUCUAUCGUUCCCUACAAUGCCCCAUCAACACUUCGAUCCACAUUUCGUCUACCAUGGCCAAUAUAGUCUCUAUCAAACACCUUACAUGCACAUGAUCUCAUUUGAUUCUGAAUUGUGGAAGGUUUUGUUAUCUUUACUCAAUUGGCCCAAACAAGAUGCUAUAAUUUAUACUUGAAGGCUUUUACCAAUAUUUGUGAUUGAUUAAAUUUCUUUCAAACGUUAUGGUUUACUUGGAUUAAAUGAUUGUGGAAAGUCUACUCUGCUUACUGCACCAGGUUGUCAAGAAAUUCCAAUUCCCGAUCAUAUGGACAUUUAUCGCCUAAGCAGGGAAAAUGAAGCCUCUGGCAUGUUUGGAAGUUGUCAUUAGCAGUGAUAAGGAAAGGUCGACAUCAGAAAGAGAAGCUGAAACUUUGGCAGCCCAGUAUUGGUUUUGUUGCCUAAAUAAAAUAGACAACAUGGUUGCUAUAGAUGAAUUAAGUUCAGAGUGGUAUGGGGUUGUUAAAUUGUGGUGGAGUAGUCCCACUAGGAUCCAAGUUUGUAGAAUGUCAUGUAACUGCCUAUUCAUCGUAACUUGUAUAUUCAGUGUAAUAAAAUCUAAUUUAAAUCUA